AUUGAACGCUGGCGGAAUGCUUUACACAUGCAAGUCGAACGGCAGCACGGACUUCGGUCUGGUGGCGAGUGGCGAACGGGUGAGUAAUGUAUCGGAACGUGCCCAGUCGUGGGGGAUAACGUAGUGAAAAUUACGCUAAUACCGCAUACGAACUAUGGAUGAAAGCGGGGGAUCGCAAGACCUCGCGCGAUGGGAGCGGCCGAUAUCAGAUUAGGUAGUUGGUGGGGUAAAGGCCCACCAAGCCAACGAUCUGUAGCUGGUCUGAGAGGACGACCAGCCACACUGGAACUGAGACACGGUCCAGACUCCUACGGGAGGCAGCAGUGGGGAAUUUUGGACAAUGAGCGAAAGCCUGAUCCAGCCAUUCCGCGUGCAGGAUGAAGGCCCUCGGGUUGUAAACUGCUUUUGUACAGAACGAAAAGGUUUCUACUAAUACUAGGAGCUCAUGACGGUACUGUAAGAAUAAGCACCGGCUAACUACGUGCCAGCCGCCGCGGUAA
This 500-nucleotide ribosomal RNA is filed under the name uncultured bacterium. RNAcentral describes it as "partial 16S ribosomal RNA". It matches the Rfam family "Bacterial small subunit ribosomal RNA", at positions 30 to 523 of the family's 1533-position model. The record is from RNAcentral.